Long non-coding RNA from Eriocheir sinensis (Chinese mitten crab), 606 nucleotides. RefSeq lists it as uncharacterized. The transcript is spliced from 4 exons. NCBI's taxonomy places the organism in Eukaryota, Metazoa, Arthropoda, Malacostraca, Decapoda, Varunidae. The record is from RefSeq and is a predicted model, not a curated record.
AUUUUGGACGAACGGUCGUCUAUACAGUCUACACCAACCUUUCCUCGUCCGUGCGUCUAGCCGUCCUCCACUUGCCCGGUGCCGUUGGUAAUUCUGUCUUUCCGCGUUAUUUGCAUCACUAAAUCAUUCUACGAAAAACCGAAACAACGGACGAAGGCAAAAUAGUGCAGCGUCGAGAGGAGAGAAAAAAAGAGAAGAGAGCAAAGGAGAGACGAGAAAUUCUGACAAAAUGAAACUCAGCAAUAUGGUUGUUUUGGCGAUGAUGGCGCUAAUGGUGGUGGUCUUCCCUGCACCCUCCAGCCAGCUACUUUUCCGAAUGAGGUUCCAUGCCCCCAAGGCUACUCAUCAUCGCCCACAUUACUCGAGUUACUGGCGUCGAAGCAACCACAGGCAAAGGCUCCGGGGACGGAGACGUUAUGGCUGAAGCCUCAAGGUGGUACCGACGAUGAUAGCAAACCAAGUCGAUGACGAUGAUGUGACGCCGUUCGUCUCAUAACAGCCGGAGAAGAGACGUGUAAGCCAACAAAUAGGCCUUACAGCAUAUUUAUAAUGCCUCAUCCCUUAUAACAGAAAAAAUAUCAUAAUGCUUUAUGCUUAUAGCCUUAU